GUGGCUCAGAGGUUAAGUAGUUGACUUGUAAUCUGCAGGUUAUGGGUUCGAAUCCCGUC
Molecule: transfer RNA, 59 nt
Filed under: Papilio machaon (common yellow swallowtail)
Lineage: Eukaryota; Metazoa; Arthropoda; Insecta; Lepidoptera; Papilionidae
Rfam family: tRNA
About the family: Transfer RNA (tRNA) molecules are approximately 80 nucleotides in length. Their secondary structure includes four short double-helical elements and three loops (D, anti-codon, and T loops). Further hydrogen bonds mediate the characteristic L-shaped molecular structure. tRNAs have two regions of fundamental functional importance: the anti-codon, which is responsible for specific mRNA codon recognition, and the 3' end, to which the tRNAs corresponding amino acid is attached (by aminoacyl-tRNA synthetases). tRNAs cope with the degeneracy of the genetic code in two manners: having more than one tRNA (with a specific anti-codon) for a particular amino acid; and 'wobble' base-pairing, i.e. permitting non-standard base-pairing at the 3rd anti-codon position.
Source: Rfam by way of RNAcentral